GCGGCGGCGAGAGGAGGGGGCUUCCCCGGAGGGUGCCCGGCGGCAGCGCCCGGCUCCUAGGCGUGAGCUGAGCCGGACCGGGAGCCGGCGGCGUGUCGCCAUGCCGGCGUGACGGGCGCCCCCGGCUGCCCGCGCGGGCCCCCGCGCUGCCCCACGCCGCGCCGCGCCGGCGCCGGGCGGCAGGAUGGGCUGUAUCCAAAGCAUCACCUGCAAGGCGCGGAUCCGGCGCGAGAACAUCGUGGUGUACGAUGUGUGCGCCACCAUCGACCAGUGCCCCACGCGCAUCGAGGAGACCUCGCCCAUCGUCCUGCGCUACAAGACCCCCUACUUCAAAGCCUCGGCCCGCGUGGUCAUGCCCCCCAUCCCCCGCCACGAGACCUGGGUGGUGGGCUGGAUCCAGGCGUGCAACCAGAUGGAGUUCUUCAACACCUACAGCGACCUGGGCAUGUCAAGCUGGGAGCUGCCUGACUUGAGGGAAGGGAGAGUAAAAGCCAUCAGUGACUCAGAUGGGGUGAGCUACCCUUGGUAUGGGAACACCACAGAGACUGUGACCCUGGUUGGCCCCACCAACAAGAUCUCCAGGUUCUCCGUCAGCAUGAAUGACAACUUCUACCCAAGUGUGACGUGGGCAGUGCCAGUGAGUGACAGCAAUGUGCCAUUGCUCACAAGGAUCAAGAGGGACCAAAGUUUCACUACCUGGCUGGUGGCCAUGAACACCACCACGAAAGAGAAGAUCAUUCUGCAGACCAUCAAGUGGAGGAUGAGGGUGGACAUUGAGGUAGACCCUCUUCAGCUCUUGGGGCAACGGGCCCGGCUGGUGGGCAGGACUCAGCAGGAGCAGCCCCGGAUCCUGAGCCGGAUGGAACCCAUCCCCCCCAAUGCACUAGUGAAACCCAAUGCCAAUGAUGCCCAGGUCCUCAUGUGGAGGCCCAAGCGGGGGCCACCUCUGGUUGUUAUUCCUCCUAAGUAGAAACAGACUGGCCUAACUGUGUGUGGCACACAUACCAGUGAGACACUUAGUGAGGUUGCCAGGGGUGGCAGGAGCCAAACUGAGUUUCUGAGCCAAAGCAGACCUCUUGGUUUGCCAGCCUAUGCAGCCACUUGUGAAGAGUAGGCCUGCUCCUUGGGCGGUAGAACCAUAUCCUUAGGAAAAGUUCUUCCUUUUAGGAAUAAAGAAAUCACUGAUUUGACAGACUUGCUGUGAUUACCAUGCAAGUAGCCAUAUUUUGGAGCUGACCAGGAUGAUUCUUUUAUCUGAACUAUUGACCAUUUCUUUCCUGUGAGAUGCAGGGGAUGGAAACGAUGUUAAACAGUGCCUGUGGCAAAUGCUGCUUCCCAACCAAUUAGAAGUGGGAGUGAAAACAUCCACACCAGGUGUCAUCUAGUAGGACAAGGCACGCCCAGCAAGCAGAACCACAUGGCAGAGACUAAGAGGAGGAAAUGAGCAGUGGCUGUGGCUCCAGAAGCUGAAGCCCUGGACAGCUGAUUUCCCAUUAAAAUGAGUGCCAUCCUGCCUGUCUCCUCACCACCCUCCCAUCUCAUGACCCAUACCCCCUCCCAUCCCACCACGUGCCAUGCAGCACUCCCCAAGGGCUGGCUGGGCUGGCUGGUUGGCUCCUGAGGAGCUGUGUUGAAGUGGGAGUUGUGUCUGCUGUAUCUUUCUGUGUGAAAGAUUGGGUCCAUCCAGAUAUCAAGUUCAUCCCCAACCCUCUAACUGAAGCUGCCCAGGGAUGAAGAGCUGGUCAGCCUGGACUCCAGAUAUCUAAAAUGACCCGGCCUUGGUUCCCAAACCCUGCCUUCCCUCCCUACACUUUUGGUUGGGAAACAGAGGGAUUAUGUAUCUUUCCUCUUUCUCCCUUCUCCACAUGGGUGGCUGAUGUUAACACUCUCUUAAGAUUUCUCUGAUCCUUAGAGAGUCAGGACCAAAGCAAUCCUGUCUCCCCUACACGUCCAGGCUGGGUGACUUCAGGUAACCAAAGGCAAAGUGUAUGUCCCCAGGAUCAGUGGGGUGAGGGGAGAACCACCCUAAGGGGGCAAAAAUGGUGUGCAUUGGUUUAUUUAUUGGCUUAUUUAUUGGCUUGCUCACUGACUUAUUUAUUUAUGAAAUAUGUAUUUAUUAUAUAGCAGAAAAUCCACUCCCAUCGCUGAGGCAUCCAGCCCCGGAAUUUGUCUUCUUGGCCCCAUAGAGCACAGUGAGUUAUUCCUCUUUGAAGCCACAGAAAACAAGGGGGAAAAUUCUCUCCUUCCAGAUUUUCAAUCAGAUAUAGGGUUAGAAACCACCAGCAAGUGAUGCAGUAAAACCACCCAAGUCAGCAGAGGCUCGACAGUCCAGAUAAAAGCUCUCAGAAUCCUCUCUACACCCACCCCUGUAGAGCCAGUCCUCCCCUUCUCUUCUUUCAUGUCUGCAGGUGGGGAUCAGCCAGCCAGCUCUAGCCUGACCAUCUCGGAACUAGACUUCUCUUUCUGCUCUGGUGCCAUUUUCUUAACGCCACAUACACAUUAGAGACACCUGAGGAGCUUAAAAAAAUCCAUGCCUGGUCCCCUUCCCUACUCAUUACAGCAGAAUCUCUCGGAGUAGAGCCUGGGCACUGGUGUUUUUAAAAAGUUACCCAAAUGAUUCUGAUGUGAGACUAGGGUUGAGAACCACUUCUAGAGUCUUCUCGCCUUUGCCUCUUCCCACCACUCACAUCCUUCAUCUUUAUCUCCCCAGCUUUCUCCAGUGCAGAGAAUGGGAAAGGCCACUGAGCAUGACAGAGUUCUCUUCCCAUUCCUCCAGCCCCUCCCUGUCACUGAACCUCCCCCAUCAGGUCAACCAACCUGAGCAGAGCCCUGGAGAGUUGGCAGGUCCCACGUGUCUCACCCGGCUCCUCACCAUCCUCCCUGGUUGUACCCUGGUUAUACCCUGAGACUGGCUCCUGAACCUAGCGUGGGAGCUGCUCUCAAGUGACUUCUGGCUAUUCUAGGAGCAGAAACCUACACCUUGCCAGAUUCCCUCUCCAUCUGCACCUUCCCCAGGCUCCCCAAUUCCAAAAGUUUAAAGGGCACUUUUGUGACAUUCAUGUCUUCAAAUCCCAAUCCUGAUGGGAAGGCCCAUGCCCAAUCUUUAUAACCCAAGCCUUGGCCAUUUCUGCAGAGCCACCUGAAUUGAAUGAGGGUCAAGUUGAAUAACAGAGGAAGGAGUCACAUUGCCCCAAGCCAGUCCUUUCCCCAGCAGUCAGGCAGCAUCCAAUUCCCGAAUGGCUGAGAAGAGACAUCUCAUCCUUCAUACUUAUGAAAUUUCCACUGCUGAGUACGAGUGAAUGUGUGUAUGUGUGUACAUGUGUGUUUGCUAUACACAAACCAUCCACAUCCAUAGAGAUGUACGGUGUUCCUAAUGGGCCCAAGUGAACUCCAUAUUAGAUAUAUACACAGAAUGUUGUAAUAUAUACAAUCUGUUAGACACACUGCACACACUAGGGAAACCUAUGAUGUGUAUUUUUGAUAACUGAUUUCCCCCUUAGUAACCUCCUAGGGCAAGUACUAUUUCACACGUGCCCUCAGCUGCCCAGCCUGUCCCGCUCCUGCAUUCCAUACCACCAAGCCUUCUUUCCCCAUUAGCCAGAAUGUCCCUGCCCUAUGUCCCAUCUCUCAGGGUCCUACUCUCUGAUAGGUGACAGACAGUUCAGUCAGUGGGUGCUAAAGAGUUGAGUGUUACCCCUCCCAGGUGACAUUUCCGUUUUAAUAGGGGCUACAGAUAAUGCCUUAAUUCGAAGGAGUGGCUCUAAUGGUGGGAAUUUCAGGCACAGUUGUGGGCCAGUAAGGGAGAUUAUUUUUUAUCGGAGGGGCUUUGGAGAGCCCCCCAAAUCAUACCUAUCUCUAAGAUCAGCCCUUCCUAAGUGCAUGAAGCACAAGCAAGCACACUUACCUACAUACACUCUGCAUCAUUUUGAGAUACCUCCCCUAUAUUGGCCCUGUCUUUAAAAAGGGGGGGUGGAAAAAGGAACCAGCUAAAUUAAUUUAAAUCUCACUGGGAAAUGUAGCCUAUUUUUCACUGGCCACCAGCCAUCUGGCCCAUCCCACCCCGUUCCACUUCCCUUCUGCUCCUUCUCUUUUCUGCCACCACCCCAUCAGUUAAUUUACUUACAUGUGUCCUCUCUGCACUCUCCUUACCCCCCCGCCCCCCGCAAUGUAUUUCCUUCCUCCUUGGCCCUUCACAAAUGUAUUUCCUUCCUUUACUGUUUCCCAAUUGGAAUUGUGCUGUUUUUUGGUGUCGUCAGGACAAAGAGCAGAUUAAAAGCAUGAGCAUGUGUGUAUCACUUUGAAGAAAGAGAAACCAGGUAUUCUGCUCCAGUGUGGAGAAAAACCCAGUGAAGGAAGAGAAGAGAGCUGGCUCUGCAGAGUGCCUUAAAAAUGACUUUAAUAGGAAAUACUGAGUCGUCAGUCUUUGGAUGUUACAUAAACUCAAACAGAUGUUGCAUUUCACUUCUCUGGGAUUAAAAGAUGUUAA
Molecule: non-coding RNA, 4486 nt
Organism: Equus caballus (horse)
Lineage: Eukaryota; Metazoa; Chordata; Mammalia; Perissodactyla; Equidae
Source: RefSeq, a predicted model, not a curated record